CCUACGGGAGGCAGCAGCCGCGGUAAUACGUAGGGGGCAAGCGUUAUCCGGAUUUACUGGGUGUAAAGGGAGCGUAGACGGCAGCGCAAGUCUGGAGUGAAAUGCCGGGGCUCAACCCCGGAACUGCUUUGGAAACUGUGCAGAUAGAGUGCGGGAGAGGUAAGCGGAAUUCCUAGUGUAGCGGUGAAAUGCGUAGAUAUUAGGAGGAACACCAGUGGCGAAGGCGGCUUGCUGGACCGUAACUGACGUUGAGGCUCGAAAGCGUGGGGAGCAAACAGGAUUAGAAACCCUGGUAGUCCAAGAUC
This 305-nucleotide ribosomal RNA is filed under the name uncultured bacterium. RNAcentral describes it as "bacterial SSU rRNA". It matches the Rfam family "Bacterial small subunit ribosomal RNA", at positions 500 to 802 of the family's 1533-position model. The record is from RNAcentral.